UACGAAGGGGGCUAGCGUUGCUCGGAAUCACUGGGCGUAAAGCGCACGUAGGCGGCUUCUUAAGUCAGGGGUGAAAUCCUGGGGCUCAACCCCAGAACUGCCCUUGAUACUGAGGAGCUUGAGUCCGGGAGAGGUGAGUGGAACUCCGAGUGUAGAGGUGAAAUUCGUAGAUAUUCGGAAGAACACCAGUGGCGAAGGCGGCUCACUGGCCCGGUACUGACGCUGAGGUGUGAAUGCGUGGGGAGCAAACAGA
Molecule: ribosomal RNA, 253 nt
Filed under: uncultured bacterium
Lineage: Bacteria
Description: partial 16S ribosomal RNA
Rfam family: Bacterial small subunit ribosomal RNA
Source: RNAcentral